RNAcentral lists this ribosomal RNA (362 nucleotides) under uncultured bacterium. RNAcentral describes it as "bacterial SSU rRNA". It matches the Rfam family "Bacterial small subunit ribosomal RNA", at positions 8 to 398 of the family's 1533-position model. The record is from RNAcentral.
AGAGUUUGAUCCUGGCUCAGAGCGAACGCUGGCGGCAGGCCUAACACAUGCAAGUCGAACGAACUCUUCGGAGUUAGUGGCGGACGGGUGAGUAACACGUGGGAACGUGCCUUUAGGUUCGGAAUAGCUCCUGGAAACGGGUGGUAAUGCCGAAUGUGCCCUUCGGGGGAAAGAUUUAUCGCCUUUAGAGCGGCCCGCGUCUGAUUAGCUAGUUGGUGAGGUAAAGGCUCACCAAGGCUACGAUCAGUAGCUGGUCUGAGAGGAUGACCAGCCACAUUGGGACUGAGACACGGCCCAAACUCCUACGGGAGGCAGCAGUGGGGAAUCUUGCACAAUGGGCGAAAGCCUGACGCAGCCAUGCC